AGCGGUUAAGUAGCUUGCCCUUUUGCCGGCGAGCGGCGGAUGGUGAGUAAUGCCUGGCAAAUUGCCCAGUCGAGGGGCAUAACAGUUGAAAACGACUGCUAAUUCCGCAUACGCCCUACGCGGGAAAGCAGGGUACCUUCGGGCCUUGCCCGAUUGGAUAUACCCAGGUGGGAUUAGCUUGUUGGUGAGGUAAUGGCUCACCAAGCCGACGAUCCCCAGCUGGUCUGAGAGGAUGAUCCGCCACACUGGAACUGAGCCACGGUCAACACUUAUACGGGAGGCAGCAGUGGGGAAUAUUGCACAAUGGGGGAAACCCUGAUGCAGCCAUGCCGCGUGUGUGAAGAAGGCCUUCGGGUUGUAAAGCACUUUCAGCGAGGAGGAAAGGUUGAUACCUAAUACGUAUCAGCUGUGACGUUACUCGCAGAAGAAGCACCGGCUAACUCCGUGCCAGCAGCCGCGGUAAUACGGAGGGUGCAAGCGUUAAUCGGAAUUACUGGGCGUAAAGCGCACGCAGGCGGUUGGAUAAGUUAGAUGUGAAAGCCCCGGGCUCAACCUGGGAAUUGCAUUUAAAACUGUCCAGCUAGAGUCUUGUAGAGGGGGGUAGAAUUCCAGGUGUAGCGGUGAAUGCGUAGAGAUCUGGAGGAAUACCGGUGGCGAAGGCGGCCCCCUGGACAAAGACUGACGCUCAGGUGCGAAAGCGUGGGGAGCAACAGGAUAGAUACCCUGGUAGUCCACGCCGUAAAGAUGUCGAUUGGAGCUGUGUCCUUGAGACGUGCUUCCGGAGCUACGCGUUAAUCGACCCCUGGGAGUACGGCCGCAGGUUAAACUCAAUGUAU
RNAcentral lists this ribosomal RNA (836 nucleotides) under Aeromonas sp. RW175. RNAcentral's name for it is "bacterial SSU rRNA". It matches the Rfam family "Bacterial small subunit ribosomal RNA", at positions 65 to 909 of the family's 1533-position model. The record is from RNAcentral. Lineage: Bacteria; Pseudomonadati; Pseudomonadota; Gammaproteobacteria; Aeromonadales; Aeromonadaceae.